UUUAAAUUUAGAAUGCACUUUUUGGGGAAAGGAAAUGAAAACACCUCAUGAUCAUGAAAUGAUGCUUCCUUCUUUUGUUUUCAAGUGAGGCUGAUAAUGAUAGUCAUACAUCCUGUUUCCAUGAAGUCAGCCAUAGGAAUGAACAAGGCAAUUAGGAAUCAUGUCAGUGUUGCUUCAUCUUCAUUUUAAUAAAGAGACUACUAUAAAAGCAGUUAUAAGUUCACAGAAAAAGCUGAACUCCUGGGAGGUAGAAUUGACUGGAAAUUCGUCGGGACAUGGGAAGCGCAAGAGGUUAGUGAUUUCCAGGGCAGCCCGGUGGAGCAGAGGGCUGGGAGGGGUCUGCGGUAGGGACCAGAUCAUGCUCCGCUCUAAGAUGCACAGAGCCACCCUCCCCUGCGACAAAUACCAGCUGCAUGAAAGCAGUAGAGAAUCGAGGCAAACAUACUCUCCUUGUUUUAGACAGAGGCCUUUUCUUUGCCUCGUAGGCUCAGGAAUUUGGCGAGGAGAAGUAUCCCUCUUCACACAGCAGUCUGCCAGCUGUCAGCAGCUCCUGACAUGA
Molecule: long non-coding RNA, 559 nt
Filed under: Vulpes vulpes (red fox)
Lineage: Eukaryota; Metazoa; Chordata; Mammalia; Carnivora; Canidae
Description: lncRNA (ENSVVUG00000030187.1)
Source: RNAcentral